AGCUGGCCCGGGCUUUGUGAGAGCCCCAUUGGGGCCUGGCGGGGCCGCAGCUCGCUACGCCUGGGCCUCGGUCCCCCCUGGCACGCCCGGGCGCCGCAGGGAUGAUCCAGACGCACGGUGGCAAUGAUUCCCCGGGCCUUGUCUUGGAAGUUUGAAUUGGACUAUCUUCAGCUUCCAGCCGCUGGAUCUUGUUAUGCUUUUGACUGGUGCAUCAAAAAGGUCUCUGCUAUCAGAAAUCUUCUCCCCAAGUCCCACUAAGGAGGGAGGCGAGGACAAAGGAAUGAAAUACGAAGCUCCUCAGUUUAUGCCAAUAUGCUUUUAUGAGCAUCAGCCUGUGGCUCCAUUCUCAGCUCUGCCAGCUCACAGAUUUUGGAUAAGUUGCAGCCCUUCAAUGUGCCUCAGUUUCCCCAUUUGUACAACAGGAAUAUUAACAUUUGGCCACCUUUGUAAAGUGCUUUGGGAACUAGCGGGGAAAGGGCUAUAGACGCACAGAGUAUUCUUACCAUAGAAGUGUCAUGUAGUAGUAUUAAACGACCCUUUAAGCUCUCUGCACAUGGAACUCCUAUUGAUUUCAAAGGGAGGGGCUUGCAAGACUGAGCCUGUAUAGUUUUGUAACUCCAAAUUUGAUUUAAGAGAGGAAGCUCAAAACAUGGGGCAGCUCAGAAUAUUUUUCUUUUCCAAUGUUUGGAUUUCUUUUAAAUUUAAUCCUAGCUCUGAGUUUCCCAUGUUUAGAAUGGAUCACUACAAGAUUUUUGUACUCUCAAAUCCCUGAUAAAUACUCCUAAUCUGAAUUCCAGCUUGACCAAAUUGUCUGGGAAUGCCGUGUCUAGUAGAAAUGUGGCUCUGAAGGAUGACUUUGACAUAACAUCAAAAGGAUGAGAGUGACUGAUGCCAUGUCAGUCUCACUGGGGCAGAAACCCUUCCAGCAACUGACACAUCAAAACAUCUUCUUACUUGUCCUGACCCACAGGAAUUUGAGUCUGCUAACAAAGAGGCAUUGUUGGGAUCCAUGUUUCCCAAGAUGUCUGGCUU
Long non-coding RNA from Dermochelys coriacea (leatherback sea turtle), 1032 nucleotides. RefSeq lists it as uncharacterized. The transcript is spliced from 3 exons. The record is from RefSeq and is a predicted model, not a curated record. NCBI's taxonomy places the organism in Eukaryota, Metazoa, Chordata, Testudines, Dermochelyidae.